UUUUUGUCUUUCAGCCUUGUCGGUCCUCCAGUUGGGAGCAAAUUCAUAGGCUGGCCUCCACUCUCUAAAGUGUCCACCCCUGUCAGAAGUUCCUCUCAACAGCUGUGUUGUGGCACAGUGUAUGCUUCAUCUCUUACUGAAAGUCAGCUGGAUGCCGUCUGUGUAAACCUGUAAGGACCGAUGCUGAAGGCACAAUUUUACUGGCAAGAAUGAAAAAGGAACAAGAAUGAUCCUUACCUGGAUGGCUUUCCUGUGAGCCUGUCACUCGUGUAGAUUCAAUAAGACUCUAUUUCCUUCCUCAAAUUAUCUGUUAAAAAAGAAUAUUCAGUGAUACUGGAUAAAGCAUGCUAGGAGUACCUUCUUCAGGACCAUCAUGGAAAGGGAAGUACACAAAUGGCCUAGAAGGAUCAGAAUAAUAUUUGGUUGAACAGAAUUUUGUCACAUUUUCAAGAAUCAGAUGAAAAGAAGAAAGCAUAUACACUGAGGAUGCAGAAACAGAAGUCCCAUGCUAAGUAAAGG
Molecule: long non-coding RNA, 519 nt
Filed under: Heterocephalus glaber (naked mole-rat)
Lineage: Eukaryota; Metazoa; Chordata; Mammalia; Rodentia; Bathyergidae
Description: lncRNA (ENSHGLG00000048918.1)
Source: RNAcentral